This 255-nucleotide ribosomal RNA is filed under the name uncultured bacterium. Its description in RNAcentral is "partial 16S ribosomal RNA". It matches the Rfam family "Archaeal small subunit ribosomal RNA", at positions 474 to 727 of the family's 1478-position model. The record is from RNAcentral.
UACCAGCACCCCCGAGUGGUCGGGACGUUUAUUGGGCCCAAAGCAUCCGUAGCCGGUUCUACAAGUCUUCCGUUAAAUCCACCUGCUUAACAGAUGGGCUGCGGAAGAUACUAUGGAGCUAGGAGGCGGGAGAGGCAAGCGGUACUCGAUGGGUAGGGGUAAAAUCCGUUGAUCCAUUGAAGACCACCAGUGGCGAAGGCGGCUUGCCAGAACGCGCUCGACGGUGAGGGAUGAAAGCUGGGGGGAGCAAACCGG